This 274-nucleotide ribosomal RNA is filed under the name uncultured bacterium. RNAcentral's name for it is "partial 16S ribosomal RNA". It matches the Rfam family "Bacterial small subunit ribosomal RNA", at positions 523 to 796 of the family's 1533-position model. The record is from RNAcentral.
AUACGGAGGGUGCGAGCGUUAAUCGGAAUUACUGGGCGUAAAGCGCGCGUAGGCGGAUAAUUAAGUCAGAUGUGAAAUCCCCGGGCUCAACCUGGGAACUGCAUUUGAUACUGAUUAACUUGAGUAUGGUAGAGGUGAGUGGAAUUUCCGGUGUAGCGGUGAAAUGCGUAGAGAUCGGAAGGAACACCAGUGGCGAAGGCGACUCACUGGGCCAUUACUGACGCUGAGGUGCGAAAGCGUGGGUAGCAAACAGGAUUAGAAACCCUAGUAGUCC